Molecule: ribosomal RNA, 810 nt
Filed under: Pristimantis sobetes
Lineage: Eukaryota; Metazoa; Chordata; Amphibia; Anura; Strabomantidae
Description: partial 16S ribosomal RNA
Rfam family: Bacterial large subunit ribosomal RNA
Source: RNAcentral
UACCAUAAUUUCACUCGACCCCUUUAAUUGUACUGAGAACUUCUAUAAAAUUAUAGAACUUUUUAUGCUAGAACUAGUAACAAGAGGUAAAACCUCUCUAUAAUGCAAGUAUAAGCCAGCAAGAAUCCGUCACUGUCAACUAACAGACCUAAACAAAAGUAGCAACCUACCCAGAAAACCCUACCUACCUUAACUGUUAACCUAAUACUAGAGCAUUUCAAGAAAGAUUAAAAGAAAGAGAAGGAACUCGGCAAAUAUUAGCCCCGCCUGUUUACCAAAAACAUCGCCUCUUGCUAUUAUAAGAGGUCUAGCCUGCCCAGUGACUUCUGUUCAACGGCCGCGGUAUCCUAACCGUGCGAAGGUAGCGUAAUCACUUGUCUUCUAAAUAGAGACCAGUAUGAAAGGCAUCACGAGGGCUAAACUGUCUCCUCCCCCUAAUCAGUGAACCUAAUCCCCCCGUGAAGAAGCGGGGAUUUUUUUAUAAGACGAGAAGACCCUAUGGAGCUUAAAACAUCACACACCUGCUGCUAUUUUUUAUUUACCCAGGUAUUUCCCCCCCCCGGCAGGCUGAUUAAAUGUUUUUGGUUGGGGUGACCGUGGAGAAAAAUUUAUCCUCCACAAUGAAAGGAAUUACUCCUAAACAGCAAGCUACAACUUUAUGUAUCAGCAAACUGACAUCCAUUGACCCAAUAUAUUGAUUAACGAACCAAGUUACCCUAGGGAUAACAGCGCAAUCCACUUUGAGAGCCCCUAUCGACAAGUGGGCUUACGACCUCGAUGUUGGAUCGGGGUAUCCUAGUGGUGCAGCCG